RNAcentral lists this transfer RNA (88 nucleotides) under Diarrhena obovata. RNAcentral describes it as "tRNA-Ser". It matches the Rfam family "tRNA". From Rfam's summary of the family: Transfer RNA (tRNA) molecules are approximately 80 nucleotides in length. Their secondary structure includes four short double-helical elements and three loops (D, anti-codon, and T loops). Further hydrogen bonds mediate the characteristic L-shaped molecular structure. tRNAs have two regions of fundamental functional importance: the anti-codon, which is responsible for specific mRNA codon recognition, and the 3' end, to which the tRNAs corresponding amino acid is attached (by aminoacyl-tRNA synthetases). tRNAs cope with the degeneracy of the genetic code in two manners: having more than one tRNA (with a specific anti-codon) for a particular amino acid; and 'wobble' base-pairing, i.e. permitting non-standard base-pairing at the 3rd anti-codon position. RNAcentral also lists the same sequence under 1 other name. Lineage: Eukaryota; Viridiplantae; Streptophyta; Magnoliopsida; Poales; Poaceae. The record is from RNAcentral.
GGAGAGAUGGCUGAGUGGUUGAUAGCUCCGGUCUUGAAAACCGGUAUAGUUCCUAGAACUAUCGAGGGUUCGAAUCCCUCUCUCUCCU